GCCAGUUUCGUAUAAUGGUAGUACACGACUCUUGUAAAGUCGAUGGUGAGAGUUCAAAUCUCUUGGCUGGCUCCA
RNAcentral lists this transfer RNA (75 nucleotides) under Mollicutes bacterium. RNAcentral describes it as "tRNA-Thr". It matches the Rfam family "tRNA". From Rfam's summary of the family: Transfer RNA (tRNA) molecules are approximately 80 nucleotides in length. RNAcentral also lists the same sequence under 1 other name. Lineage: Bacteria; Bacillati; Mycoplasmatota; Mollicutes. The record is from RNAcentral.